Malus domestica (apple) is the source of this 257-nucleotide long non-coding RNA. RefSeq lists it as uncharacterized. The record is from RefSeq and is a predicted model, not a curated record. Lineage: Eukaryota; Viridiplantae; Streptophyta; Magnoliopsida; Rosales; Rosaceae.
GAUUUGAUCCCUUGAACUUGAAUUAAUUGGACCACUCUUUUUUUCUCACAUGGAGUAUAGCUGGGCAUAAAAGAGAUCAAGUGUUAAUGAGGACCUUGAAAUGGAGUAUGUAUUAAGAUUCAUUAGUAGUGGUACAAAAUGUAAGCAUCACUAUGAUGUAAUUGAUAUAAACUUUGUAGGUUUUCAUUUUCAAUGUUGAAGUUGGAAAUUGCUUUGGUUGUUAUAAUACUAAUGAUCAAAAAAUAACUUUCACUAGA